Molecule: long non-coding RNA, 261 nt
Filed under: Brassica napus (rape)
Lineage: Eukaryota; Viridiplantae; Streptophyta; Magnoliopsida; Brassicales; Brassicaceae
Description: long non-coding RNA (BNAP_LNC000106)
Source: RNAcentral
UUUUUUCAUAUCGGAUUGGAGUAGAGUCUAUAUCAAACUCGUAAUCCGGGUAGAUAAUAUAUUCAACCUUUAGUGACUUUGUAAUAAUAACACGGUUCUUAAAGAGAUUGAUAAUAUUAAAAAAUUAGAGAGCUGCAAAACGAGGAGUUUUAUUAAUUAGCAACGUUCACAUGUGCCUUUGAUACGACGUCCACAACAACAAAAAUUUACGCGACAUUGAUUUUACUAUAAAUUCGCACCUAAUCAUCUUCAUCUCCCAUC